Molecule: ribosomal RNA, 622 nt
Filed under: uncultured marine bacterium
Lineage: Bacteria
Description: bacterial SSU rRNA
Rfam family: Bacterial small subunit ribosomal RNA
Source: RNAcentral
AGAGUUUGAUCCUGGCUCAGGAUGAACGCUGGCGGCGUGCCUAAUACAUGCAAGUCGAGCGAACUGAUUAGAAGCUUGCUUCUAUGACGUUAGCGGCGGACGGGUGAGUAACACGUGGGCAACCUGCCUGUAAGACUGGGAUAACUUCGGGAAACCGAAGCUAAUACCGGAUAGGAUCUUCUCCUUCAUGGGAGAUGAUUGAAAGAUGGUUUCGGCUAUCACUUACAGAUGGGCCCGCGGUGCAUUAGCUAGUUGGUGAGGUAACGGCUCACCAAGGCAACGAUGCAUAGCCGACCUGAGAGGGUGAUCGGCCACACUGGGACUGAGACACGGCCCAGACUCCUACGGGAGGCAGCAGUAGGGAAUCUUCCGCAAUGAACGAAAGUCUGACGGAGCAACGCCGCGUGAGUGAUGAAGGCUUUCGGGUCGUAAAACUCUGUUGUUAGGGAAGAACAAGUACGAGAGUAACUGCUCGUACCUUGACGGUACCUAACCAGAAAGCCACGGCUAACUACGUGCCAGCAGCCGCGGUAAUACGUAGGUGGCAAGCGUUAUCCGGAAUUAUUGGGCGUAAAGCGCGCGCAGGCGGUUUCUUAAGUCUGAUGUGAAAGCCCACGGCUCA